AGUUCGGAUCGGAGUCUGCAACCCGAACUCCGUGAAGCUGGAUUCGCUAGUAAUCGCGCAUCAGCCAUGGCGCGGUGAAUACGUUCCCGGGCCUUGUACACACCGCCCGUCAAGCCAUGGGAGCCGGGGGUGCUUGAAGUGCGUCGCCGCAAGGCGCGCCCUAGAGCAAAACCGGUGACUGGGGCUAAGUCGUAACAAGGUAUC
Molecule: ribosomal RNA, 204 nt
Filed under: uncultured bacterium
Lineage: Bacteria
Description: partial 16S ribosomal RNA
Rfam family: Bacterial small subunit ribosomal RNA
Source: RNAcentral